CUAACAAGGAUUCCCCUAGUAACGGCGAGUGAAGCGGGAUGAGCUCAAAUUUGUAAUCUGGCGGCCUGUGGUCGUCCGAGUUGUAGUCUGGAGAAGCGUCUUCCGCGUCGGACCGUGUACAAGUCCCUUGGAACGGGGCGUCGUAGAGGGUGAGAAUCCCGUCUUUGACACGGACUGCCGAUGCUAUGCGAUGCGCUCUCGAAGAGUCGAGUUGUUUGGGAAUGCAGCUCAAAACGGGUGGUAAAUUCCAUCUAAAGCUAAAUAUGGGCAAAAGACCGAUAGCGAACAAGUACCGUGAGGGAAAGAUGAAAAGCACUUUGAAAAGAGAGUCAAAUAGUACGUGAAAUUGUUGAAAGGGAAACGCUUGAAGUCAGUCGCGUCUCCCGGGACUCAGCCUUGCUUUGUUGCUCGGCGUACUUCCCGGGGCGACGGGCCAGCAUCGGUUUCGAUCGUCGGAGAAAGGCCGGUUGGGAAUGUGGCACCCUCGGGUGUGUUAUAGCCCUGGGUCGUAUGCGACGGUUGGGACCGAGGACCGCAGCACGCCUUCAUUGGCCGGGGGGACGCCCCACGUAACGUGCUUAGGAUGCUGGCGUAAUGGCUUUAAGCGACCCGUCUUGA
This 618-nucleotide ribosomal RNA is filed under the name Ramaria rubripermanens. RNAcentral describes it as "eukaryotic LSU rRNA". It matches the Rfam family "Eukaryotic large subunit ribosomal RNA", at positions 65 to 657 of the family's 3401-position model. Lineage: Eukaryota; Fungi; Basidiomycota; Agaricomycetes; Gomphales; Gomphaceae. The record is from RNAcentral.